Molecule: ribosomal RNA, 497 nt
Filed under: uncultured bacterium
Lineage: Bacteria
Description: partial 16S ribosomal RNA
Rfam family: Bacterial small subunit ribosomal RNA
Source: RNAcentral
GACGAACGCUGGCGGCGUGCCUAAUACAUGCAAGUAGAACGCUGAAGAGAGGAGCUUGCUCUUCUUGGAUGAGUUGCGAACGGGUGAGUAACGCGUAGGUAACCUGCCUUGUAGCGGGGGAUAACUAUUGGAAACGAUAGCUAAUACCGCAUAACAAUGGAUGACACAUGUCAUUUAUUUGAAAGGGGCAAUUGCUCCACUACAAGAUGGACCUGCGUUGUAUUAGCUAGUAGGUGAGGUAAUGGCUCACCUAGGCGACGAUACAUAGCCGACCUGAGAGGGUGAUCGGCCACACUGGGACUGAGACACGGCCCAGACUCCUACGGGAGGCAGCAGUAGGGAAUCUUCGGCAAUGGGGGCAACCCUGACCGAGCCACGCCGCGUGAGUGAAGAAGGUUUUCGGAUCGUAAAGCUCUGUUGUAAGUCAAGAACGGGUGUGAGAGUGGAAAGUUCACACUGUGACGGUAGCUUACCAGAAAGGGACGGCUAACUACGUG